Long non-coding RNA from Equus caballus (horse), 815 nucleotides. RefSeq lists it as uncharacterized. Lineage: Eukaryota; Metazoa; Chordata; Mammalia; Perissodactyla; Equidae. The record is from RefSeq and is a predicted model, not a curated record.
GUUUGUGUUUGUGCUUACGAGUCAAAGCUACGCCCAGGAUCAGCGCUCUCAGCUGUGCUGUAGUGCAGGUCGACACGAAAAUCUUCGAGGGUUUCAUGGAAGGAGGCAGAGGUCAUUCAUUGACAAGAACUUACAGACAAGGACACAAAAACUCAGAAAGAUGAAAUGCUGUGUCCAGAAUCUCCGUUUCCCAGCUCAGUGGUGAGGAGCAGAGGACUCUGAGAGACUUUUGAAGCUCCAUUGUGGUACCCUGGUGUCCAGUGGAUCCCAGUUUGUAAGCCAAUGAAAUAGACCUAUGUGUAGCUGCCCUGGAAUGCCUGUGGGAAGAGAUGACCCAAUACAAGCGAGAGAAUUGCCCAAUUUUGGAUUCCUCUUUCUCAAGUUGGAAAGAUAAGUGAUUAUGGAGGGUGUGCGUUGAGAUGAAGGAGCCACAAGAUGGAACCAGAUUUAAAUACCUGAGUUACAACAAGGAAAAGAGUUGCCUCGGGGAGAUACUGAACUUUCACUGUGAGCAAUCUAUUAUGAGAACAGUAAACACACGAUUAUGUGUUAAGCCAUUGAGAUUGUGUUUGUUUGUUAAUGGAAGGCAAUAUAGCCUAUGCUGACUAACAUAAAUGUCGUGGGAUUAACUGACAUCUAAGAUUUCUUCCAGCUCUAAUCACUCUCAUUCCAACCAUUAGGAUGAGUGGAGAAUGUGAACACACUGUGCACAAACAUACCUCUAUCCUGUGUGUUGCCGCUGUGGAACUUAGGAAUAGAAUACACAGUGCAUGUGUAUUCUAUUAGCAUGAAUAAAUAUUUCUAUUACUGCUUUU